RNAcentral lists this ribosomal RNA (303 nucleotides) under uncultured bacterium. RNAcentral describes it as "partial 16S ribosomal RNA". It matches the Rfam family "Bacterial small subunit ribosomal RNA", at positions 507 to 807 of the family's 1533-position model. The record is from RNAcentral.
AGCAGCAGCCGCGGGAAUACGAAGGGGGCUAGCGUUGUUCGGAAUCACUGGGCGUAAAGCGCACGUAGGCGGACACUUAAGUCAGAGGUGAAAUCCCAAGGCUCAACCUUGGAACUGCCUUUGAUACUGGGUGUCUUGAGUUCGGGAGAGGGGAGUGGAACUGCGAGUGUAGAGGUGAAAUUCGUAGAUAUUCGCAAGAACACCAGUGGCGAAGGCGGCUCACUGGCCCGAUACUGACGCUGAGGUGCGAAAGCGUGGGGAGCAAACAGGAUUAGAUACCCGCGUAGUCCCUGUCUCUUAUAC